Molecule: ribosomal RNA, 1377 nt
Filed under: uncultured beta proteobacterium
Lineage: Bacteria; Pseudomonadati; Pseudomonadota; Betaproteobacteria
Description: bacterial SSU rRNA
Rfam family: Bacterial small subunit ribosomal RNA
Source: RNAcentral
UUGAACGCUGGCGGCAUGCCUUACACAUGCAAGUCGAACGGCAGCACGGGUGCUUGCACCUGGUGGCGAGUGGCGAACGGGUGAGUAAUACAUCGGAACAUGUCCUGUAGUGGGGGAUAGCCCGGCGAAAGCCGGAUUAAUACCGCAUACGAUCUACGGAUGAAAGCGGGGGACCUUCGGGCCUCGCGCUAUAGGGUUGGCCGAUGGCUGAUUAGCUAGUUGGUGGGGUAAAGGCCUACCAAGGCGACGAUCAGUAGCUGGUCUGAGAGGACGACCAGCCACACUGGGACUGAGACACGGCCCAGACUCCUACGGGAGGCAGCAGUGGGGAAUUUUGGACAAUGGGCGAAAGCCUGAUCCAGCAAUGCCGCGUGUGUGAAGAAGGCCUUCGGGUUGUAAAGCACUUUUGUCCGGAAAGAAAUCCUUGGCUCUAAUACAGUCGGGGGAUGACGGUACCGGAAGAAUAAGCACCGGCUAACUACGUGCCAGCAGCCGCGGUAAUACGUAGGGUGCGAGCGUUAAUCGGAAUUACUGGGCGUAAAGCGUGCGCAGGCGGUUUGCUAAGACCGAUGUGAAAUCCCCGGGCUCAACCUGGGAACUGCAUUGGUGACUGGCAGGCUAGAGUAUGGCAGAGGGGGGUAGAAUUCCACGUGUAGCAGUGAAAUGCGUAGAGAUGUGGAGGAAUACCGAUGGCGAAGGCAGCCCCCUGGGCCAAUACUGACGCUCAUGCACGAAAGCGUGGGGGAGCAAACAGGAUUAGAUACCCUGGUAGUCCACGCCCUAAACGAUGUCAACUAGUUGUUGGGGAUUCAUUUCCUUAGUAACGUAGCUAACGCGUGAAGUUGACCGCCUGGGGAGUACGGUCGCAAGAUUAAAACUCAAAGGAAUUGACGGGGACCCGCACAAGCGGUGGAUGAUGUGGAUUAAUUCGAUGCAACGCGAAAAACCUUACCUACCCUUGACAUGGUCGGAAUCCCGCUGAGAGGUGGGAGUGCUCGAAAGAGAACCGGCGCACAGGUGCUGCAUGGCUGUCGUCAGCUCGUGUCGUGAGAUGUUGGGUUAAGUCCCGCAACGAGCGCAACCCUUGUCCUUAGUUGCUACGCAAGAGCACUCUAAGGAGACUGCCGGUGACAAACCGGAGGAAGGUGGGGAUGACGUCAAGUCCUCAUGGCCCUUAUGGGUAGGGCUUCACACGUCAUACAAUGGUCGGAACAGAGGGUUGCCAACCCGCGAGGGGGAGCUAAUCCCAGAAAACCGAUCGUAGUCCGGAUUGCACUCUGCAACUCGAGUGCAUGAAGCUGGAAUCGCUAGUAAUCGCGGAUCAGCAUGCCGCGGUGAAUACGUUCCCGGGUCUUGUACACACCGCCCGUCAAGGCG